This 237-nucleotide long non-coding RNA is filed under the name Setaria italica (foxtail millet). RNAcentral's name for it is "long non-coding RNA (SITA_LNC003715)". The record is from RNAcentral. Lineage: Eukaryota; Viridiplantae; Streptophyta; Magnoliopsida; Poales; Poaceae.
GUUGUAGUAUGAGUAAACAACCAACUCCUAUAACUCGCGAGUGAGAUGCAAUCACUCGACUUUUACCGAGUCCUAUGUAGCACAGCAACUACUUGACCUUUGCAACUAGUGUUCAGAUCAAGGGUACUAAGUUCAUGCAUCUACAGUUUCAAUCAACUCCUACAAAUGUAAAUGCACAAUCAUAAGCGUCAACAUAUUGCAUAAAUUUAAAACAGGGAAGCAUGCACUGGGGCUUAC